ACCUAGUGAAGUGAAACAUCUCAGUAGCUAGAGGAAGAGAAAUCAAACGAGAUUCCGUUAGUAGCGGCGAGCGAAAGCGGAUUAGGACAAACCCUGUACUUGUAUAGGGGGUUGUAGGACCAUAAUAUAAGAUUAAAGAGAAUAGAAGAAUUAGUUGGAAAACUAAAGCAUAGAAGGUGAUACUCCUGUAUUUUAAAUUCUUGAUAACUUUAAUGGAAUCCUGAGUAGGUCGGAACACGUGAUAUUUUGACUGAAGCAGGGGGGACCACCCUCCAAUCCUAAAUACUACUUACAGAUCGAUAGUGAACAAGUACCGUGAGGGAAAGGUGAAAAGAACUGCAGUGAGCAGAGUGAAAUAGAACCUGAAACCAUUAGCUUACAAUCAUUCAGAGCACGAUUCUAUAUGACGUGUGAUGGACUGCCUUUUGCAUAAUGAGCCUGCGAGUUGUGGUAUCUGGCGAGGUUAAGCCAAGUGUGAAGCCGUAGCGAAAGCGAGUCUUAAUAGGGCGCUUUAGUCAGAUGCUGCAGACCCGAAACGAAGUGAUCUAUCCAUGAGCAGGUUGAAGCUGGUGUAAGAGCCAGUGGAGGACCGAACCGGCAAGCGUUGAAAAGCUUUCGGAUGACUUGUGGAUAGGGGUGAAAGGCCAAUCAAACUUCGUGAUAGCUGGUUCUCUCCGAAAUAUAUUUAGGUAUAGCCUUGUGUUGUAAUAUAUAGGGGUAAAGCACUGAAUGGGCUAGGGCUGUAACCAACGGUACCAAACCCUAUCAAACUAAGAAUACUAUAUGUGUAAUCACAGGAGUCAGGCGGUGGGUGAUAAAAUCAAUCGUCGAGAGGGGAACAACCCAGACUAACAGCUAAGGUCCCAAAGUUACAUC
RNAcentral lists this ribosomal RNA (876 nucleotides) under Desulfovibrio sp. OH1186_COT-070. RNAcentral describes it as "Bacterial large subunit ribosomal RNA". It matches the Rfam family "Bacterial large subunit ribosomal RNA", at positions 183 to 1059 of the family's 2925-position model. The record is from Rfam by way of RNAcentral. Lineage: Bacteria; Pseudomonadati; Thermodesulfobacteriota; Desulfovibrionia; Desulfovibrionales; Desulfovibrionaceae. RNAcentral also lists the same sequence under 1 other name.